RNAcentral lists this transfer RNA (72 nucleotides) under Nitrosopumilus ureiphilus. RNAcentral's name for it is "tRNA-Leu". It matches the Rfam family "tRNA". From Rfam's summary of the family: Transfer RNA (tRNA) molecules are approximately 80 nucleotides in length. Their secondary structure includes four short double-helical elements and three loops (D, anti-codon, and T loops). The record is from RNAcentral. Lineage: Archaea; Thermoproteati; Nitrososphaerota; Nitrososphaeria; Nitrosopumilales; Nitrosopumilaceae.
GGGGAUGUAGGCUAACUGGUAAACCAGCUCCUUCAGACGGUGCAAUAUCGGGUUCAAGUCCCGACAUCUCCA